CCCUCGGGAAUCAGUCGAACGACGCGCGAACGCGUCUCGAUCGUCGGAGCGUAAAAGUCCGGCUCGAGGCGUCUAGUAGUCGCGUUCGUAAGGCGCAUUUCUCGAGGGUUAGCGCCGCGACCGAUGCGAACGGCCGACGACGCCGUCGAGUUGAGGUCGAACGCCCUUCGCGGGUAUUCGUAACCAGCUCGUUCGGUUCGAUCGUUGGAUCUAUAAAUAUAUAGCAUCGAGCGAAUACUUAAUAAAUACGUCGGCGUAAAACGCUCGACGAGCGGCGGAGACUCGGCCAGUCGUUCGAUACCUGCUCGCAGGUGCUCGUUCGGCGCGAGGUCGUUUCCCGAUGUCGCCGUCGACGCUACCGACGUUUAGGCGUCCGCGGCGUCCGAGUCGGCCACCCGUCCGACCCGUCUUGAAACACGGACCAAGGAGUCUAACGUACGCGCGAGUUAAUGGGCGGAAAACCCAUAAGCGCAAUAAAAGUAAAAGUCGUCCUAAGACGGCCGAGGUACGAUCCUAGACUACGCGUCUAGGCGCAGUACCGUCCCGUCCCGACCGCACGUCGGUAGGGCGGAGAUUGAGCGCGUGCGUUGGGACCCGAAAGAUGGUGAACUAUGCCUGAGCAGAGCGAAGCCAGAGGAAACUCUGGUGGAGG
Molecule: ribosomal RNA, 652 nt
Filed under: Xiphinema americanum
Lineage: Eukaryota; Metazoa; Nematoda; Enoplea; Dorylaimida; Longidoridae
Description: eukaryotic LSU rRNA
Rfam family: Eukaryotic large subunit ribosomal RNA
Source: RNAcentral